UAGGGUGAAAAUUCAAGAGAAAAUUGGUGGAUUUCAAGUAAUCAAGCAAUCAAAGGUAAAAUUUCUUGAUUUUGACUUGUGAUCUACCUUUCCCAUACAUUCUUUUGCAUUUUCCAUGGUUGAAUCACAUGAUUUCAUGAUGGGUAUCUUGCUGGCUGAACACUUAGAGAGAGGUUUUGAUGCUUGAUUUGGUUAGAUUUCAAUGUAUUUUAGUGUUUUUAGUUAGUUAGUGAUGUGUAGCAUGAAAAGCCAACAAGAAAAAUUCAUUUUCUCCCAUCACCCAUCAUUGGCCGAAUUCUCCAUGUAGAAUAUUGAUGAUGAUUUUGAUUUUAUUUCAAGUGAUUUGGUUAGGAAUUAGUGAUUUAUGGUGUGAGAAUCAAGCUUGAAAAAUUAUAAUGUUGAUGCACCCACCAUGGCCGAAUUUUCCAAGAGAAAAUGUGAGGAUGAUUUUGCCAUAUUUCAAGUUAUUUAAUUUGUGUUUGAUGAUUUGGAGUAUUGGGAGAAAAAUGAAAUUAUUUGUAGUUGAAUUAGACGUAUUGGCCAAUUAAUCGAGUGACAGAUCGAAUUAGGCCAAUACCAUUUAAUUUAGGUACACAAUUGAAUUUGUAAAACACCGUGUUUAAACGAUAAUCCGAACAAUUGGCAUUCCAUUUCAUGCAUUAGUAAAGAGCCUGAAAUAGAUUUAUAAUGGUAUGACACAGUAUAUUGAAUUAUGUGUCGUGUAUUGUAUAUAGGUGGUGAGCCCUCUAACAAGGGUAAAGACGUUGUGUCAGAGGACUGAGAAUAGGAGUAUUUCAAACUCCUAAUACUGUGAGUAACCUUACUAUCGUCUUAAUUAUCCAAAGUAGUUUUUAAUCGUUUUUGUGAUUUUAUGGAAAAUGAGUUUAAAUGGUAAAUCUUUAUGUUUUAUAAGCAAAAUGUGAUUAAAUGAAAAUGAUUUUAUAAAAUUGUCUUGAAAUUGAAAGAUGGUUUUGAAAAUGGAGUAAUUGGAGACUAAUUGUUG
This 1003-nucleotide long non-coding RNA is filed under the name Theobroma cacao (cacao). RNAcentral's name for it is "long non-coding RNA (TCAC_LNC003928)". Lineage: Eukaryota; Viridiplantae; Streptophyta; Magnoliopsida; Malvales; Malvaceae. The record is from RNAcentral.